UACGGAGGGGGCAAGCGUUAUCCGGAUUCACUGGGCUUAAAGGGUGCGUAGGCGGGCAAGUAAGUCAGUGGUGAAAUCUCCGGGCUUAACCCGGAAACUGCCAUUGAUACUAUUUGUCUUGAAUACUGUGGAGGUCAGCGGAAUAUGUCAUGUAGCGGUGAAAUGCUUAGAUAUGACAUAGAACACCAAUUGCGAAGGCAGCUGGCUGCACAAAUAUUGACACUGAGGCACGAAAGCGUGGGGAUCAAACAGG
This 253-nucleotide ribosomal RNA is filed under the name uncultured bacterium. RNAcentral's name for it is "partial 16S ribosomal RNA". It matches the Rfam family "Bacterial small subunit ribosomal RNA", at positions 524 to 776 of the family's 1533-position model. The record is from RNAcentral.